RNAcentral lists this small nuclear RNA (152 nucleotides) under Zalophus californianus (California sea lion). Its description in RNAcentral is "U4 spliceosomal RNA (ENSZCAG00015004044.1)". It matches the Rfam family "U4 spliceosomal RNA". Rfam says of the family: U4 small nuclear RNA (U4 snRNA) is a component of the major U2-dependent spliceosome. The structure of U4 snRNA from yeast and human has been reported. U4 snRNA presents a k-turn RNA motif in the 5p-SL related to recognition of Snu13 protein. Lineage: Eukaryota; Metazoa; Chordata; Mammalia; Carnivora; Otariidae. The record is from RNAcentral.
AGCUUUGCACAGUGGCAGUAUCAUAGCCAAUGAGGUUUAUCCAAGGUGCGAUUAUUGCUAAUUGAAAACUUUUCACAAAAUAAGUAUUUACUGACUCAACAAAUAUUCACUUGUGUCACCUGGGGCAUUAUGUUUGGUGACACAGUGAUGAG